This 253-nucleotide ribosomal RNA is filed under the name uncultured bacterium. RNAcentral describes it as "partial 16S ribosomal RNA". It matches the Rfam family "Bacterial small subunit ribosomal RNA", at positions 524 to 776 of the family's 1533-position model. The record is from RNAcentral.
UACGUAGGGGGCAAGCGUUGUCCGGAAUCAUUGGGCGUAAAGCGCGUGUAGGCGGCUCGAUAAGUCUGCUGUGAAAGUCCAGGGCUCAACCCUGGGAUGCCGGUGGAUACUGUCGAGCUCGAGUCCGGAAGAGGCGAGUGGAAUUCCCAGUGUAGCGGUGAAAUGCGUAGAUAUUGGGAGGAACACCAGUGGCGAAGGCGGCUCACUGGACCGGUUCUGACGCUGAGGCGCGAAAGCCAGGGGAGCAAACGGG